AGAAAAGGUAGGGGACAACCCACCACUUCUCAAUGUCUCCUUUGUCCAGAUUUUCUUGGUGAACAGCUGGAGGGCCCAUGCCUGGCAGUGGCUGUCUGUACAUGACCCAGGCAUUCCGCCUUAGUAUGAGCUGGAGAAAGAAUGAGUGAUAUCUACAGAGUUACUUAGGCACCUAUGCCUCAAUUUUGGCCAACCCACAAAACUCCUGUUAGGCUGCUGCCUAAUCUUCGAGUAGCCUGAACUUGCUUGGUGCCUAUGUUUGUGCAGUAAAUGUUCCCUAAAUGCCUAUGUUUCUGACUCUGAAUAUGCACACUGCUGCCUCACUUUAGGGUCCUAGGCACUUAACAUGUACCUAAGCUCCAGAGUGAGCCAUAAACCAGGUGAAAGAUAGGUUCUCAGCUGCCUUAGCCUAUACCUAUGCUACAAGGAAGACCCCCAUGGAAGAAGCCUGGGGAACCUCAAACAGCAGGUUGCAGUUUAAAAAAGAAAACAAUAUAUUGAUAUGACCUUACAACCUUCAGUACUGUCUGGAUGCGGCACACAAAGGAAAACUUGAAAAACUGUCUUCUACACUUUAAGGAUCCAGAGUUCUGAAGGAUUGACUAGUGGGCCAGAACAAAUGUGAAUCAGAGAAGAUGUGAUGUCUCCAGACAUUGUCCCUCAAGUGGUGCACCUUCUCCUUCCCUUCCUAUCUCCAGUAGGGCUGUAAUUCUAGGAUCAAUGGCUGAGUCCAUUACGGUCGGGCAUUGAACAGGCAUGGAAGGGGCACCCUUCAAGGCCACCAAGCAGAAGCUGCAGACAGAUGCACCAUUAGACUUACAGUCAGAAGAGAAAGGGAAAGAUAAGUGUCAAAAUUCCUUCAUAAAAUAUCUUUACUAAGAAAUGCUUCAGGGCACUUUAGUUUUGGAAUACUUCAAUACAAGCUCUGCACUGCACACAAAAAAUGUGCUGAAUACAGCCUAGCAGAGAGGAGGUAGGGUGUUCUGUUGCAUGGAAGAUAUAAAUGUUGGGUGCCCCUCCCUCAGUAUGGGUAGGGAAAGGGUCGUGAAUAUUGGCAUUGUGUUCAUAGACAGUCUGUCCUCUGGUGUCCGUGCCUUGUUGUGGCGGGACACCUUGCGUGCUGUAAUGAUCCCCAGAGUCUGUGUCAGUGGGGGCUUUUUGCUCCUGGUGGGUUCAACCAUGCCAGAUUGGUCUGUGGGGGAAGGGCCAGACAAAACAGACACCCUGGUCCUCCAGGUUGGGGGUUAGGCACAGGGCUAACAACCCUGUCCCGUAAAAAAAACAAAAUAUGUUAUUGAAACAGAAACAGAGAAAUUGACCAAUACUGUGUGUGAUGGCCUUCAGGAGUCAAUGACCCAUAUGACUGUCAGUGUUGAAAUCCAAAAGGAAGUCACUGGCAUCAGGGGUGGCUCUAGACAUUUUGCCCCUCCAAGCACGGAGGGUACGCUGGACCCGCGGCUUCGGCGGACCUCCCGCAGGCAUCCACCGAAGCCGCGGGACCAGUGGACCCUCCGCAGGCAAGCUGCCAAAGGCACCCUGCCUGUCGCCCUAGCAGCGACCGGCAGAGCGCCCUCCACGGCUUGCUGUCCCAGGCACGCGCUUGGAGCGCUGGUGCCUUGAGCCGCUCCUGACUGGCAUGAAGACUGAAGUGCUCAACAGCAAAACAAAAAAACAAACUUGUUUUUUGGAACCUACAGACAAUGUACGAAGCAGGGAAGCUAGCUCAAGUCACAGCAGAGAUGAGACGCUACAGCUUACACAUCCUGGAUGUCAGCAAGACCAGAUGGAUGGGAUCAGGAAGAUUAACAACAGCCUUGGGAGAAACUUUGCUGUUUUCUGGACAGGAUGAUGGACAACAUCAUGAGGGUGUUACCAUACUUUUGUAGAAAGGAGUGGAGCAUUCCCUGCUUGGAUGGAAAUCCAUCAGCAGCAGACUUAUGAGAGCCAGACUGAAAGGGAAACAUAAUAAUAUCACCCUUAUUCAGUGAUAUGCUCCAACAAAAGACAGUGAUGAAGAAGUAAAGGACAAAUUCUACCUUACACUACAGGCGGAGUUAGAGAGAGUACCACACCACGACCUAACUAUCAUCGGGGGAGUCCUGAAUGCCAAGGUCGGUAAGGACAACACAAACAAUGACAGAGCAAUGGGAAGACAUGGGUGUGGUACUAUGAAUGAAAACAGAGAAAGACUUGUUGAUUUCUGUAAUAUGAAUGACCUAGUCAUUGGCAGAACCCUGUUUGACAUCGUGAAAUUCACAAGCUGUAGAAACCAGAUGAGCCCUGAAGAAAAAAAUUUUAGACACAAAAUCCCAGAAGCUAGAGGACAAAUACCAUGAGCAGUAUAGCAAGGCACAUCAGGAGGUCAAACACCUUGUGAGAGCGGACAAACGGCAUUAUAUUGAUAAUCUGGCAACACAAGCAGAGGAUGCAGCUGCUUGUGUUGAACAAGGAACCAUCUACAAAAUGACGUGGCUUAUCGGUGGUAAACGGCAGACACCACCAAACACUCUCAUCAGGAACAAACAAGGACACCUACUAACAACCAAAAAAAAAAAACAAGAAAUACACUGGACAGAGCAUUUCAAAGAAUUGCUGAACAGGGAGCCACCUAAAAAGGAAGCAAACAUCCAGGAGACAGAAGAAGAUCUUAAUAUCAACACAGACAUCCCAACUAAGGAAGAGAUCAUUCAAGCCAUCAAAUCCUUUAAAAAUGGGAAAGCCCCUGGCUUGAAUACAGAAUUGUUCAAAGUAAAUCCUAAAUUAGCAGCAUCUAUCCUGGCCCCUCUAUUUAUAUCAGUCUGGGAAAAGGAAAAAGUGCCAGAUGAGUGGACCAAUGGGGUUAUAGUGAAGAUACCAUAGAAAGGAACUCUCAGUGAUUGUAAUAACUGGUGGGGUAUUAUCGUAACACUUUUAUCUGUGCCAAGCACAGUAAUAUGUAAGAUCAUAGUCCAGCAUAUAUCAGAGGCAGUUGAUAGUAGUCUCAGAAAAGGGCAAGCUGGUUUUCGGAAAGGGUGUGGAUGCACAGAGCAGAUCAUCAUUCUACGAAAUAUAAUAGAACAGUGCUUAGAAAGGCAAUGACAACUCUACAUAAAUUUCAUAGACUUUGAGAAGGCUUUUGAUAGCAUUCACGGGACCAGGCUAUGGCGCAUUCUGCGGGCAUAUGGAAUUCUUUUCCGUAUAAUCAACAUCAUCAAAAGCUUCUAUUUCAACUUUACAUGCAGUAUUGAUCACAGUGAGUUCAGUUUUGAAUUCAAAAAAGCAGUAUGUCAGGGAUGUGUCAUGUCUGCAAUCGUCUUCAACAUUGUCAUCGACUGUGUAAUGUGGCAUACACCAGAAGACAUGCCAAGAGGCAUUAAAUGGACACUAUUCUCAUCCCUUGAAAAUCUGGACUUUGCAGAUGAUGUCACUCUCCUAUCACAUACCCAACACCAUAUACAAGAAAAAAACAACUUAACUCAACGGAUUCAGCCAGCAAAUUGGAUUGAAAAUCAACCGCAAUAAGUCAGAUAUCAUGAUCUUUAAUAUUGCCUCACCAUCACCAGCACAGAUAGGGGAUUAUGUUCUUACCAAUGUAGAAACAUUCACAUACAUGGGCAGCACCAUCAGCCAGGACGGUGGAACAAGCCAGGACAUCUGGAACAAAAUCAAUAAAGCCAGGAACACCUUCAAGAGCUUAAAUACAGUCUGGAAAUCAUCAAAACACAACAUUAAAACCAAAUUCAAGAUUUAUGAGAGCUGCGUACUUUCAACACUACUUUAUAGUGCGGAAUGCUGGGGAAUGAGAAAGUAUGACAUGUUCAAACUAUCUUCAUUCCAUACAACCUACCUCAGAAAAAUCCUCCAUAUCUUUUGGCCCAGAACAAUCUCAAACCAGGAUCUACUGACACAGUGCAGACAAAAGGAUCUGAGCACCAGCAUUGCCAGGACGAGCUGGAGAUCGAUUGGUCAUGUGCUUCGGAUGGAAACUGAUUCCAUCACCAGAGUAGCAAUAAGAUGGACACCUGAAGGCAAGCGAAAAUGAGGCUGCCCAAAAACAACAUGGCAAAGAGCUGUGGAAGCCGAGCUGAAAAACCUGGGGCACAGCUGGGGAACCAUUGAAAGACUUGCCAGAAACAGACAGGAGUGAAGGAGCUUCAUCACUCCCCUAAACACCAGAAGUGUAACAGGAAUAUGAUGAUGAUGAUUAUGUUCAUAGACAGUGGUGAUUUUGGAUGUUAUCUCACUCCUGUGGGUGACAAAGGCACAUAGAACCUAGCUGCUACUGGCAUCCUGAAGUUACCGAGGCCCAUACACUGCUAUCCUGUUUACAGCAACAGUGCCAGCUGAACUCACUGCAUUGUGGUAUGGAGAAGUUUCCUCUCCCAGUGGAGGAAAUAAAGCUGCCAUCCCUAGA
Mauremys reevesii (Reeves's turtle) is the source of this 4393-nucleotide long non-coding RNA. RefSeq lists it as uncharacterized. The transcript has 7 exons. NCBI's taxonomy places the organism in Eukaryota, Metazoa, Chordata, Testudines, Geoemydidae. The record is from RefSeq and is a predicted model, not a curated record.